Molecule: long non-coding RNA, 2290 nt
Filed under: Canis lupus familiaris (dog)
Lineage: Eukaryota; Metazoa; Chordata; Mammalia; Carnivora; Canidae
Description: lncRNA (ENSCAFG00000057561.1)
Source: RNAcentral
AGAGAGAGAGAGAGAGGGAGAAGCAGGCUCCCCACUGAGCAGAGAGCCCACCAUGGGGCUCAAUCCCAGGACCUGAACUGAAGGCACACGCUUAAUCAACUGAGCCACCCAGGUGUCCCUGAUCUCAUCUUUAAUUAGGUUACUUUAUAGGAUCAUUUCAUAAUAACUGAAGGAAUAAUAGAAGAGAUGGUUUUAUCAGACAAGAUAUUUGGGAACUUACUAUCUUGGCCUAAAGAUUCAAGAAAAAGGGAACUACCUCUUCUUCAUUGUUUUUAACCUUAAAAACUAUGUUAUGAUUAUGAUUAUACUGACUACAUCCUGCACCAACUGGACUCGGUUAGCAGAAAAAAAAAAAAUUAGAGUAAUGUGGCUCACACAGUAUUUUAUGGACCAUGAUAAAAAGUGUGUAAGCAAGCAAAUGCUUAGAAUAGCAAAUGGCAAAAUCUAAUACCUAAAACUAUAAUGACCCAAAGAAAUGUUUCAUCAAAAUAAGUGCUUUGAAUUUUUCUGCCUGGCUUAAUGGCAGUGGCGGGGCAUGAAGGAAGAAAAAGGAGGCAGCAUAUUUACUCUGGCAUAGUCAGGGAAAAUGGCCAUUAAUUUAGAACCCACCCACUAAUUCAACUGGAUAACUAAAGGAGAUAAAAGGAGGAACCACAAACUGCAAGCCAGCCUUGUCCUUGGAUUGACUAAGUGCUGUAUUUGUUUGCUAGGGCUGCUGUAACAAGUCAUUACAAACUCAUUCAAUUACAUCUGCAAAGACCCUAUGUCCAAAUAAGGUCACAUUCACAGGUAGGGGGUGGGGAACAACUUCAACACAGCUUUUGAGGACAGCAUAACUCACCCAAUUUGAAUCACAAGGGCAAGUAAAAAAAAAAAAAUGUCUGUGGUAUUAUAGCCUAGAGAUUCCACACUAAGGAGUAUGAGGUACACAGCCAGGACAUCUAGAUUUUUAAAGCGCCCCGAGUGACUCACAUGUUUCAGAACCACUAGGCUAAAGAGCUCUGGUUAUUAGUUUCUCAAAAGGAUAGUUUAGCAUAAUGAAGAAUGUGUUUCAAUGAGAAAAAUCUCUUUUCCUUUCAUCAUUUUGACAAAAAUGAAAAAAAAAAUAUCAAAAGGUGGUGAUCAAAAUGAGUGGCAUGUAAUCAAAAAGAAUUUUAGAAACUUACCAUCUGACAUGUGUUCUUUCCAUGAGCAUUUUCAUGCAUGGGUGUGUUGUACCACUGAGAGGUCCCAAGAUAGUCAUUGGCACUUUAGAAAUCAGCGGCUCUGCCACCACUGACCUGUGUGGUGUUUGGCUAGUUGUGACUAGGUAUGGAAACUACUCUUUCCCAAUGAUGAUAUUCAGUGAUUAGCAAACAAUGGAAACAGACCCUACUUUUAUAGAUUGAGGGGCCAUGAUGAGAUACUCUACAAUGAUGACAGAAGUGACCACUCCGUUUUUAUAUCUAUGGAUGCUCAUAUUAACACUACACCAAGUUAUCAAAGAAAAGGCAUUUCAGUGGGGUAAACUGUUGAAAUGUAAAAUUAUUUCUUAUGUUUCUUUUUUCAGAGUCUGAAGAACCCAUUUGAUAUAGAUGCCUAUAAAUCUUGUCAAAUAUUAUUUCACACUACUCUGUAGGCUCAUAAGGAUCUGAUGAUAGCAACUAAAUCAUUAUAAACUUCCCCUUGCUUGUCUCUUGGUUGGCUAUACCAUGUUUUCUAUCUAGCAUAGUCUACUUUGUAUCAUUGUUAUGGACUGAAUGUUUGUGUCCAGCCAAAGAUGUCAUAUGUUGAAAUCAUAACCCCCAACGUGAUGGUAUUAAGGGGUGGAACCUUUGAGCAGUGCUUGGGGCAGGGUGGACCCUCAUGAACAGGAUUAGUGCUCUUGUAAGAGCAGAGAGCCUGUUUGCUCUCUCCUGCUCUCUCACUCUCUCUUUGCUUUCUGCCAUGUCAAAAUACAAUAAGAAGACACCAUCUAUAAACCAGGAAGAGGACCUUAACCAGAACCCAACCUGCUGGCAUCUUGACCUUAGACUGUAGACUCCAAGUCUCCAGAAGUGUGAAGAAUAAGGGUUUGUUGUUUAAGCGACCUAGUCCAUGGUAAUUUGUUAUAGCACCUGGAAGUAACUAAAAGAAUCAUAAUUUCAUACUUAUACUUCAUACUACAUACUUUAAAAAAUACUUAAAAAUACUAGCCACCCUUUAUUCAUAGAGACAAACUUUUUGUUUUUCAUUCUCAAAUUCCCCUGUGAAGAACUUUCUUUUGCCUCAAGUUUAGAAAAUUCCCUUAAAAAAAAAAAAAAAAAAAAAA